Molecule: small nuclear RNA, 104 nt
Filed under: Myotis davidii
Lineage: Eukaryota; Metazoa; Chordata; Mammalia; Chiroptera; Vespertilionidae
Description: U2 spliceosomal RNA
Rfam family: U2 spliceosomal RNA
About the family: U2 is a small nuclear RNA (snRNA) component of the spliceosome (involved in pre-mRNA splicing). Complementary binding between U2 snRNA (in an area lying towards the 5' end but 3' to hairpin I) and the branchpoint sequence (BPS) of the intron results the bulging out of an unpaired adenosine, on the BPS, which initiates a nucleophilic attack at the intronic 5' splice site, thus starting the first of two transesterification reactions that mediate splicing.
Source: Rfam by way of RNAcentral
AUCGCUUCUCGGCCUUUUGGCUAAGAUCAAGUGUAGUAUCUGUUCUUAUCAGUUUAAAAUUAUACAUCUCCUACACAUUUAAGUAUCAAAAAAUAAUACUAAUA